Molecule: long non-coding RNA, 384 nt
Filed under: Anser brachyrhynchus (Pink-footed goose)
Lineage: Eukaryota; Metazoa; Chordata; Aves; Anseriformes; Anatidae
Description: lncRNA (ENSABRG00000015402.1)
Source: RNAcentral
GUUUGUCCCAUUAUGCUGGAGAACAAAAGCUAUGCAAAACAUUAUGGCCAGUUACCGUAGCAGGUCAGCAGAUGGAAGGAGGGAGGGAAAAAGCAAGCAGAACAUGCAUGCCACAGCCUGGCUUCAGUCAUUUGGCAGUCAGAGCAGGGCCUUCCCGAGACCCUGUAUACGUGCUGUCUCCUGAGUGCUGGUGGAGAAGACCUUUGGACCAAUGUUUUCUGGUGUCUCAGGAAGAAAUGCAAGGCAAUGCCCAUCUCCAUCAGACAAGUUUGAGCUAGUGCAUGACUUUCUGAUGGGGGAUCUCAGUAUAACUAUCUACUUAGGCGCAGUAAAUAUUAAGUAGCUUUGAUAUAAAGGAAAAUGAUAUUUAUUUAUUUUUUGCCA